GCCGGUGUGGUGGAAUUGGCAGACACAAGGGACUUAAAAUCCCUCGCUACGGCUUGCGGGUUCAAAUCCCGUCACCGGUA
This 80-nucleotide transfer RNA is filed under the name Anaerotruncus colihominis DSM 17241. Its description in RNAcentral is "tRNA-Leu". It matches the Rfam family "tRNA". From Rfam's summary of the family: Transfer RNA (tRNA) molecules are approximately 80 nucleotides in length. Their secondary structure includes four short double-helical elements and three loops (D, anti-codon, and T loops). The record is from RNAcentral. Lineage: Bacteria; Bacillati; Bacillota; Clostridia; Eubacteriales; Oscillospiraceae.